AUGUUGGUGGUGAUGAUGAUGAUGUAUGGCGGUUGUCUACUCCUUACGCAGAGUUUGACCAACUCCUGUACCUACACCUUAGCACCAUCAAUGGCAUCUGAUGUGGCUUUUUAAACUAGACAAUGUUCU
This is a long non-coding RNA of Octopus sinensis (East Asian common octopus), 129 nucleotides long. RefSeq lists it as uncharacterized. Lineage: Eukaryota; Metazoa; Mollusca; Cephalopoda; Octopoda; Octopodidae. The record is from RefSeq and is a predicted model, not a curated record. The transcript has 3 exons.